AGGAAUUCCAUGGACUCAAAAAACAUGCUGAACCAAGAGGUUAGAAGUUUCCAGAGUGAGGAGUUUCGCAAGGCUAAAAUUGGCCAGAUUUAAAGAAGGUAGACAGUUGUCAAUAUUACUUACCUCUGGACACCAGAAGGCAGUAACGAAGUCCAAGGCGAUGUGUGGCCAAAGUCUACCCUGGAUGUGUAGCGAUUGCAGCAGACUUGCUGGAGUUUGAAGAAAGGACGUGCCCCGACCACAGACAGUACACACUGCCACAGUGUCUUUACCCAGAGUUAACCACUAGAAGUUGGAACCAAGGAGGGAAAUGGUAAUGUUCAUUCCCGGGUGGCAGGGAGGCUGGGAGGAAUGUCCCCACUGCAAAACCUGGGAACAGGUUUCAGGAGCCAGGGUGGCUGAGGCUGCCGGGAUACAGAAACAUGACCCAUCCAGGGCCUCCUCACCUAGUAGCCAUCAGCAGGAGGGUCCCCCUACAUGGGCCUGGUCCUGCUCAAUGAGAAUGAGGAGAAUCAAGCCUUCUUCUACAACUACCCAAUCCCAACAUCAACCAGGUGGCAACAUCCUCACCAAGCUGGAACAUCGGAAAUCCUGGACUGCUCCUGUAGUAGUGCCCACUGAGAGCAUCAUGCCUUGCUCCUACAUCAUCCAGAUGCAGCAGGGGUCAACACUCAGGCCGAGUCAGCGCCACCUCCAGUCACAUUACCUCUCUCACCUGUUGGAAAGGACAUCUAUCAAGAGACAGGUAAUGCCAGUGUCAGUGUGCAGGUUGGUACAAGGUCUGAAUGGAUGCCAAAGGCAUUAAUCAGAGUGGACUUGGGAGUUAACCUGAUGUCACAAUCAUUUGGGGGAAGAAGGGAGAAGAGUUGCAGGUGGUAAAUUUAAAUCACAAG
RNAcentral lists this long non-coding RNA (893 nucleotides) under Takifugu rubripes (torafugu). Its description in RNAcentral is "lncRNA (ENSTRUG00000033352.1)". Lineage: Eukaryota; Metazoa; Chordata; Actinopteri; Tetraodontiformes; Tetraodontidae. The record is from RNAcentral.